GACGAACGCUGGCGGCGUGCUUAACACAUGCAAGUCGAACGAAGUGGCGAACGGGUGAGUAACGCGUAAUCAACCUGCCCUUCAGAGGGGGACAACAGUUGGAAACGACUGCUAAUACCGCAUACUGAAGGAGGGGAUUGCGUCUGAUUAGCUAGUUGGAGGGGUAACGGCCCACCAAGGCGAUGAUCAGUAGCCGGUUGGAGGGGUGAAACGGCAACAUGGGACUUGAGACAGGGCCCGGUCGCUAAGGGGAGGCGGAGGGGGGAAAUUUCCGGCAUGGGCGAAAGUCUGGCUGGGCAAAGGCGCGGGAGUGAUGAAGGGCUUCGGGUUGGAAAGCUACGUUAAGCGGGACGCGGUACCGGAAGAGUAAGCAACGGCUAACUACGUGCCAGCAGCCGCGGUAAUAC
This 407-nucleotide ribosomal RNA is filed under the name uncultured bacterium. RNAcentral's name for it is "partial 16S ribosomal RNA". It matches the Rfam family "Bacterial small subunit ribosomal RNA", at positions 28 to 526 of the family's 1533-position model. The record is from RNAcentral.